This 1144-nucleotide ribosomal RNA is filed under the name Bacillus subtilis. RNAcentral describes it as "bacterial SSU rRNA". It matches the Rfam family "Bacterial small subunit ribosomal RNA", at positions 53 to 1178 of the family's 1533-position model. Lineage: Bacteria; Bacillati; Bacillota; Bacilli; Caryophanales; Bacillaceae. The record is from RNAcentral. RNAcentral also lists the same sequence under 1 other name.
ACAUGCGAGUCGAGCGGACAGAUGGGAGCUUGCUCCCUGAUGUUAGCGGCGGACGGGUGAGUAACACGUGGGUAACCUGCCUGUAAGACUGGGAUAACUCCGGGAAACCGGGGCUAAUACCGGAUGCUUGUUUGAACCGCAUGGUUCAAACAUAAAAGGUGGCUUCGGCUACCACUUACAGAUGGACCCGCGGCGCAUUAGCUAGUUGGUGAGGUAAUGGCUCACCAAGGCAACGAUGCGUAGCCGACCUGAGAGGGUGAUCGGCCACACUGGGACUGAGACACGGCCCAGACUCCUACGGGAGGCAGCAGUAGGGAAUCUUCCGCAAUGGACGAAAGUCUGACGGAGCAACGCCGCGUGAGUGAUGAAGGUUUUCGGAUCGUAAAGCUCUGUUGUUAGGGAAGAACAAGUACCGUUCGAAUAGGGCGGUACCUUGACGGUACCUAACCAGAAAGCCACGGCUAACUACGUGCCAGCAGCCGCGGUAAUACGUAGGUGGCAAGCGUUGUCCGGAAUUAUUGGGCGUAAAGGGCUCGCAGGCGGUUCCUUAAGUCUGAUGUGAAAGCCCCCGGCUCAACCGGGGAGGGUCAUUGGAAACUGGGGAACUUGAGUGCAGAAGAGGAGAGUGGAAUUCCACGUGUAGCGGUGAAAUGCGUAGAGAUGUGGAGGAACACCAGUGGCGAAGGCGACUCUCUGGUCUGUAACUGACGCUGAGGAGCGAAAGCGUGGGGAGCGAACAGGAUUAGAUACCCUGGUAGUCCACGCCGUAAACGAUGAGUGCUAAGUGUUAGGGGGUUUCCGCCCCUUAGUGCUGCAGCUAACGCAUUAAGCACUCCGCCUGGGGAGUACGGUCGCAAGACUGAAACUCAAAGGAAUUGACGGGGGCCCGCACAAGCGGUGGAGCAGGUGGUUUAAUUCGAAGCAACGCGAAGAACCUUACCAGGUCUUGACAUCCUCUGACAAUCCUAGAAGAUAGGACGUCCCCUUCGGGGGCAGAGUGACAGGUGGUGCAUGGUUGUCGUCAGCUCGUGUCGUGAGAUGUUGGGUUAAGUCCCGCAACGAGCGCAACCCUUGAUCUUAGUUGCCAGCAUUCAGUUGGGCACUCUAAGGUGACUGCCGGUGACAAACCCGAGGAAAGGUGGGG